This 485-nucleotide ribosomal RNA is filed under the name uncultured soil bacterium. RNAcentral describes it as "bacterial SSU rRNA". It matches the Rfam family "Bacterial small subunit ribosomal RNA", at positions 26 to 509 of the family's 1533-position model. The record is from RNAcentral.
AGAUUGAACGCUGGCGGCAUGCCUUACACAUGCAAGUCGAACGGCAGCACGGGAGCAAUCCUGGUGGCGAGUGGCGAACGGGUGAGUAAUACAUCGGAACGUGCCCAAUCGUGGGGGAUAACGCAGCGAAAGCUGUGCUAAUACCGCAUAAGAUCUACGGAUGAAAGCAGGGGAUCGCAAGACCUUGCGCGAAUGGAGCGGCCGAUGGCAGAUUAGGUAGUUGGUGAGGUAAAGGCUCACCAAGCCUUCGAUCUGUAGCUGGUCUGAGAGGACGACCAGCCACACUGGGACUGAGACACGGCCCAGACUCCUACGGGAGGCAGCAGUGGGGAAUUUUGGACAAUGGGCGAAAGCCUGAUCCAGCAUGCGCGUGCAGGAUGAAGCCUUCGGUUGUAAACGUGCUUUGUACGGAACGAAAGUCUACUUUCUAAUAAAGAGGAUCAGUAGACGGUACCGUAAGAAUAAGACACCGCUAACUACGUACG